GUGGGGAAUAUUGGACAAUGGGGGCAACCCUGAUCCAGCAAUGCCGCGUGUGUGAAGAAGGUCUUCGGAUUGUAAAGCACUUUCGACGGGGACGAUGAUGACGGUACCCGUAGAAGAAGCCCCGGCUAACUUCGUGCCAGCAGCCGCGGUAAUACGAAGGGGGCUAGCGUUGCUCGGAAUGACUGGGCGUAAAGGGCGCGUAGGCGGCAUGCACAGUCAGAUGUGAAAUUCCUGGGCUUAACCUGGGGGCUGCAUUUGAUACGUGUGAGCUAGAAUGUGAAAGAGGGUCGUGGAAUUCCCAGUGUAGAGGUGAAAUUCGUAGAUAUUGGGAAGAACACCGGUGGCGAAGGCGGCGACCUGGUUCAUGAUUGACGCUGAGGCGCGAAAGCGUGGGGAGCAAACAGG
Molecule: ribosomal RNA, 405 nt
Filed under: uncultured Endobacter sp.
Lineage: Bacteria; Pseudomonadati; Pseudomonadota; Alphaproteobacteria; Acetobacterales; Acetobacteraceae
Description: bacterial SSU rRNA
Rfam family: Bacterial small subunit ribosomal RNA
Source: RNAcentral